UACUUUCGCAAGGCACUGUAGAUAGACAGAUUCAUUUCUGGGAUCAUUUGCAAGUGAGCUACAGGGCAUCUGCUUAUUGGGCCCUUUCAGUAAGCCACCCACAGAGUUUACAUAACACACAUACUGUAUAUAAUAUAAUUUUUAUAUAUUAUAUAAUUUACACAAAUGGAUAGCAGCAUGGUCAUCCUGACAUUUGCUGAGAAGAUGACCGUAUAGGAGGCUUUUGUUACUGCGGUCAUCCAACAAACGUCUGCAAUGUGAUCGCUCUAAUGAUGGGGCCUUCAGGUGCUUCGGUCCUCUGAACAAUCUUGGGCCAAAGGUGGAGUCUGCCUGAGAACUUCCUGUGACCAGCAGGUAUAGCUCAAGAGAAAUCCUCCAUCAUGUCCUCCAAGAAGACUUGGUCUAAGUUCCUGCGACUUUGACCCUCCCAGCAAUACAGCUGCUCCUGUGCACAUCCAGAAUGUGCACAUUUCUGGUAAUGUUAGUGCAAAGGAGCAGUGUGGCACUGGCACAUAUCCCUACACCUCUACACUGUAAAGGUAACACCACCUCCUUCUUCCUUUUAUGUCUGACUAAAAUUUGAAUAUGUAAUAAAGAUUAUCAGGUAUUACCCUCCACUUUCAGUGUUAUAGUUUACGCUGGCGCCACUCUGCAACCUGCUGCCUGUCAAACUGUCAACCGGAGAUACAGCGAGUUCCUUAACUUUUAGAGGGGAACCCCAAAUUCAAGAAAAGAGUCAAGUGUGAGAAAGUAUCCUUUACUUAAACUGACCAUUGACCUUGAGUAUACCAAUACAUAUAAGUCAUUAUCAGUUAAUGUUAUGCAUUUGAGAUGUCAAAAGCCCAAAGAAGUUGUUCCCUGUUCUCCCAUUUGGCAAUGCAGACAAUGAGAAGGUUGAAGCCCAUAAAAGCCAGCUGGAUAUGUUCCUUAGAGUAGGUAUUCAGAUCAUAGUAGGUAUUCAGAUCAUAUCUUCACUCUGCAUGAUUGCUAAUGAUUUGUAUGGUGCUGUAAUUUCAGUGAUUUUCUUUAGCAAUUAAGCAGCAUUCCUGAGACAGCCAACAGUGAGGACAUGCAGGAGUUCCUGGCUCUCAGCUCAGAUGCGUGCACAUACUUUGGAAGAAAGCCCAUUAUCAAGUCAAAAAUUGAUAAGUUGUGGCAGAUGUUGCUUUGAACAUCCUGUGCCUGCUGAUGAAGGACCAGUGGAGUUGGCUGUGUACUGAGAAUAUACAGAAGACCAUCAGACUGCUCUUUGGCACCUUCAUUGAGAGUGGGUGAUAUGAAGUAAAAAAGCAGACACAGAACGCUGUUGCAUUAAACCAUUGGUUCUGCCUCAGAUGGUUGGAUUUAGGAGCUGGCCACUUUACCAGUGACUCCUGCUGGGUGAUUUACCUACAAGAACUGCAGGAAACCGUGUGGCCAUGAGGGAUGCUGCCUGCUCAGCCAUGCCUGCAGCAUAGUGCUGCAGAAAGAGAGGAGACUAAGCAGCACUGUCUGGACUGUCUAAUGAGGCUGAGAACACCCUGCGGCAGAGGUGCUGAUCACUACAAAAUGCCCAGAAGCUGCAGAUGGAAAACUGAUGCUUCUGCCAUGAUCAACAGUGGCAGUAAUGGGCCUAAAAGCUGUUUGACAUCAAGAGAAGAAGACAAACCUGGUUAAGGGCACAGCUGAAAGACAGAAACUAAGAAACUCAAGUCACUAAGUACAGUCACCCAGCGGAGCGGUCAGCUUCUCGACCAAAGACACUUCAGUAGGGUGAAUGCUUGCUGCCUGAGGAUCCUGAUACAUUUUGACAGGAGAUCAAGCUUAUGGUAUGUGUUUCAAGGGUGGGCUCUUAUCUGAAUGUUUGACUCUGCUAUUGUUACUUUUUUAUUACAGGUAUGUGAAAUGGACUGACUUUUAUGGUAAAACUGGUUCCCAGCCUUUUUAGCUUGUUAGCAUUUAUAGCCAAUGACUGAUUAACUGUGACCCUCAUUACAGCUUUUACGUACAGUACUGUAUGGCAGUAAACCGUUCAAACAAAGAGUGAUGUUUACUGAGUUCUGAAGAAGUUAAACUCCUCAGUAUCUCACAAAAGCAAAUAUCUUAAAGCAAAAUGUACUGAAACCUGUACUGAUGGGUGAUACUGAACAUGUGUCCAUCUUUGUCUCUAACUACGAAUAACAAGAUGUGGAUAUACACUGUCAAGAUUGCUACAAGUGAAUGGUGAUUGUCAAUGUUUUUGAAAGCAUGUCAACCUGCUUUCUGUCUGUUUUUGUUUUGGCUGAACAAUUUGACAGCUUCUCUCAUGCGAUCUUUACACUGGGGAUUGUGAGAGGAUUGAUUACAUUUUGUUUUUCAAGCUCAAAAAGUAAAAAUCUUAUUUCUGAGUCCAGAUCUCUGAAUCAUAGUGUGCUGUUUCUGUUGUCUCAGUAAUUUGGUGCAGAGUUUUAACAAGCCAUCUAAGGUCAAAUCUGUUUUGUUGUGAGCUAAACCAUCAGAACAGUUUGUUCAUGCAACUCUUUUGUUGUUGUUUCUCAUCAUCCAGCAUUGUUAUCUAUACUUUUAUAUUACAGACAAAUAUCUUGCACGACUACAUUGCAGCUGUCUCAGGGUGAUGAAGUGAAGCAUAUCAGUGUGAAUUCUCAUUUUCGCGAAUGAUAGGGGAGAAAGGUGCGUUAUGCAACAUGCUCGUAAAGAUUUCCCUCCUCAGUACACGUUCUGUAUGUGAUAUAGUGCAGGAUGUACAUCAGAGGAAGGGUUUCAGUGUUACACCAUCUUUCAUUUUAAUAACUAGCCUUUGUAAGCCAUAUGGAAGGCCAGGCUAAAGCUCUGAGUCUUCUCUGUUUAAACGGGUAUGGGAUGGCUGAAAUGGGGCUCUUGGUUUAAUUUCUGUUACAGUGUGAGGAUGUAUGACAUCACUACCCGAGGAGAGUGGAAGCAUCAGAUCAGGCCCUUGCUUGUAACCAAAAAUUACACCAAGCUGUCAUUAGUUAUCCUGACCUCUACACAGGCAGAGACCAGAUGGAGGUAUGUGAACAGUGUUACAGUACGUGUGUAAAUCAGUCUUGUCAUGGAAUUCAGUUUUAGAUUGUACAUGUCUAGAGAUCUGUACAGUUUGGUUUGAUGAUAAAGCAUCAUUGUGGUUCACAAGUUUAGUAUAGCACACCCAGAAUUUGCACAUUUCUGUUGCUAAAGUUGAAUGAAUUCAUGUUCAGUGUUACA
Monopterus albus (swamp eel) is the source of this 3201-nucleotide long non-coding RNA. RefSeq lists it as uncharacterized. NCBI's taxonomy places the organism in Eukaryota, Metazoa, Chordata, Actinopteri, Synbranchiformes, Synbranchidae. The record is from RefSeq and is a predicted model, not a curated record. The transcript is spliced from 6 exons.